UGAGGGAAUAUUGGGUCAAUGGACGGAAGUCUGAACCAGCCAAGUAGCGUGCAGGACGACGGCCCUAUGGGUUGUAAACUGCUUUUAUGUGGGAAUAAAGUGAGGGACGUGUCCCUUUUUGUAGGUACCACAUGAAUAAGGACCGGCUAAUUCCGUGCCAGCAGCCGCGGUAAUACGGAAGGUCCGGGCGUUAUCCGGAUUUAUUGGGUUUAAAGGGAGCGUAGGCCGUCUUUUAAGCGUGUUGUGAAAUGUAGACGCUCAACGUCUGCACUGCAGCGCGAACUGGUUUCCUUGAGUACGCAUAAAGUGGGCGGAAUUCGUGGUGUAGCGGUGAAAUGCUUAGAUAUGACGAAGAACUCCGAUUGCGAAGGCAGCCUGCUGUAGCGUAACUGACGCUGAAGCUCGAAAGCGUGGGUAUCGAACAGGAUUAGAUACCCUGGUAGU
This 444-nucleotide ribosomal RNA is filed under the name uncultured Prevotella sp. RNAcentral's name for it is "bacterial SSU rRNA". It matches the Rfam family "Bacterial small subunit ribosomal RNA", at positions 354 to 794 of the family's 1533-position model. The record is from RNAcentral. Lineage: Bacteria; Pseudomonadati; Bacteroidota; Bacteroidia; Bacteroidales; Prevotellaceae.